AUACUUACCUGGCAGGGGAGACAACAUGGUCACUAAGGUGGUUUUCCCAGGGCAAGGCUUAUCCAUUGCACUCUGGAUGUGCUGACCCCUGUAAUUUCCCCAAAUGUGGGAAACUCAGCUGCAUAAUUUGUGGUAGUGGGGGACUGCAUUCGUGCUUUCCCCUA
RNAcentral lists this small nuclear RNA (164 nucleotides) under Vicugna pacos (alpaca). RNAcentral describes it as "U1 spliceosomal RNA (ENSVPAG00000017159.1)". It matches the Rfam family "U1 spliceosomal RNA". Rfam says of the family: U1 is a small nuclear RNA (snRNA) component of the spliceosome (involved in pre-mRNA splicing). Its 5' end forms complementary base pairs with the 5' splice junction, thus defining the 5' donor site of an intron. Lineage: Eukaryota; Metazoa; Chordata; Mammalia; Artiodactyla; Camelidae. The record is from Rfam by way of RNAcentral.